GACAGAGGGUGCAAACGUUGUUCGGAAUUACUGGGCGUAAAGCGCGUGUAGGCAGCUUCGCAAGUCGGAUGUGAAAGCCCUGGGCUCAACCUAGGAAGUGCAUUCGAAACUGCAGAGCUUGAGUUCUGGAGAGGAAGGCGGAAUUCUCGGUGUAGAGGUGAAAUGCGCAGAUAUCAGGAGGAACACCAGCGGCGAAGGCGGCGCUCUGGGCCGGUACUGACACUGAGGAGCGAAAGCGUGGGUAGCAAACAGG
Molecule: ribosomal RNA, 253 nt
Filed under: uncultured bacterium
Lineage: Bacteria
Description: partial 16S ribosomal RNA
Rfam family: Bacterial small subunit ribosomal RNA
Source: RNAcentral